Salvator merianae (Argentine black and white tegu) is the source of this 107-nucleotide small nuclear RNA. The record is from Ensembl. NCBI's taxonomy places the organism in Eukaryota, Metazoa, Chordata, Lepidosauria, Squamata, Teiidae.
GUGCUCGCUUCAGCAGCACAUAUACUAAAAUUGGAACGAUACAGAGAAGAUUCGCAUGGCCCCUGCACAAGGAUGACACGCAAAUUCGUGAAGCGUUCCAUACGUAA